GCGAAGUCCAAGGCUUCCAAGCCCGCCUCAUCUUCAUCCUCUGGCGACGCCGGUUCUUUCGCCCCCGUUGCCGGCAUUGCCGUCGUUGGCGCUGCUGCUGCCCUCGUUGGUGGUGGCAAGAAGAAGGAGCCUGAGCCCGAGCCUGAGCCCGAGCCGGUCAACACGCCCUUCUCCUUCUUUGGCAGGAAGCCGGAGCCCGAGCCGGAGCCCGAGCCCCCGAAGAAGAAGGGUUUCUCCUUCGGAGCCAAGAAGACUCCGCCUCCCCCUCCUCCGGCUCCCGAGCCCGUCAAGAAGGCUCUCUUCUCCUUCGGCGCCAAGAAACCUGAGCCCGAGCCUGAGCCCGAGCCUGUGAAGAAGAAGCCGGCCUUCUCCUUCGGUGGCACCCAGAAGAUGAAGAAGGCACCCGAGCCGGAGCCCGAGCCCGAGCCCGUGAAGAAGAAGCCGAUGUUCUCCUUCGGUGGCACGCAGAAGAUGAAGAAGGCCCCCGAGCCUGAGCCCGAGCCUGAGCCCGAGCCCGUCAAGAAGAAGCCGAUGUUCUCCUUUGGCGGCACCCGGAAGAUGAAGAAGGCCCCCGAGCCUGAGCCCGAGUUCGAGCCCGAGCCUGAGCCCGUCAAGAAGACUCCUCCCAAGCCCCUCUUCGCGCGCAAGGCUCCGGUCAAGAAGGCUCCUGAGCCCGAGCCUGAGCCCGAGCCUGAGCCCGAGCCCGAGCCCGUCAAGAAGGCCCCCGAG
This 729-nucleotide long non-coding RNA is filed under the name Micromonas commoda. RNAcentral's name for it is "long non-coding RNA (MCOM_LNC000461)". The record is from RNAcentral. Lineage: Eukaryota; Viridiplantae; Chlorophyta; Mamiellophyceae; Mamiellales; Mamiellaceae.